GAUGAACGCUAGCGAUAGGCUUAACACAUGCAAGUCGAGGGGCAGCAUGGUCUUAGCUUGCUAAGACUGAUGGCGACCGGCGCACAGGUGCGUAACGCGUAUGCAACUUGCCUCACAGAGGGGGAUAACCCGUCGAAAGACGGACUAAUACCGCGUACACUCUAUUUUGGGCAUCCAAGGUAGAGGAAAUGAAAUUCGCUGUGAGAUAGGCAUGCGUCCCAUUAGCUAGUUGGUGAGGUAACGGCUCACCAAGGCGACGAUGGGUAGGGGAACUGAGAGGUUGAACCCCCACACUGGUACUGAGACACGGACCAGACUCCUACGGGAGGCAGCAGUGAGGAAUAUUGGUCAAUGGGCGAGAGCCUGAACCAGCCAAGUCGCGUGAAGGAUGACUGUCUUAUGGAUUGUAAACUUCUUUUGUAGGGGAAUAAAGAGGGGCACGUGUGCCCCAGUGAAUGUACCCUACGAAUAAGCAUCGGCUAACUCCGUG
RNAcentral lists this ribosomal RNA (490 nucleotides) under uncultured bacterium. RNAcentral describes it as "partial 16S ribosomal RNA". It matches the Rfam family "Bacterial small subunit ribosomal RNA", at positions 28 to 507 of the family's 1533-position model. The record is from RNAcentral.